AGAAAGCGAGCCAUCUAAGUCCUGCACACCUCUUGCCAACCAGGGCCUCAUUGCCAUUGGACUAGCCAUAGCAUUAGCAUGUGUCUUCAAACAGGUAGCCAAGGUAGCCUGUCCAGCAUAACCAUGAUGGUUUGAAAAUGCUGGAGGGUCUCCGGACGUCUCCGCUGCAAUGAGCAACGCAUGACAGUCUGUGUGUGUGUGUGUGUGUGUGUG
This is a long non-coding RNA of Engraulis encrasicolus (European anchovy), 213 nucleotides long. RefSeq lists it as uncharacterized. The record is from RefSeq and is a predicted model, not a curated record. Lineage: Eukaryota; Metazoa; Chordata; Actinopteri; Clupeiformes; Engraulidae. The transcript is spliced from 3 exons.